CGAAGGAAUUACCAUCAAGAACAAGUCACGUUUAAAAGUCAAAGGAUUCGACGAUUAGGCCACAUAGUGUAGAAAUUUUGUUCAAGAUAGAGACAUUACAUUUAUUUAGUAACAUUACGAACCGGAUACUGAAUGAAAAUCGAGUAAUAAUGUAAAUAUUUAUCGAGUAAUAAUGUCAUUAAAAAAUUAACGUUAUACUGACCACCAUCGUUUUCGAAUUUGGGUUUU
Cinara cedri is the source of this 228-nucleotide non-coding RNA. The record is from the annotation of a GenBank genome assembly. NCBI's taxonomy places the organism in Eukaryota, Metazoa, Arthropoda, Insecta, Hemiptera, Aphididae.